CCCCUCUGAUAUUUUGCAAAGGCUGAACCAGAGAGUGAGAUCGAGAGAGAGUUGGGCUGAGAGAGCCUAGCCGAAGCAUCGCGCGCGAGAGAGAGAGCUCGUGGGAGAGAGGGAGAGAGAGAGAGAGAACCGAUGGCCAAUCGGCCAUGGCAGAAGCUGCCAUAGCCAGCGAAUAAGAGAAGCAGCAGCAGCGGGCGAAGCUUCAAUGGCUGGCCAUGGAGCUGGUCGAGGCGGCUGAUGGCAAACGAGGCGUGCGACGGCUGAUGCAACGCGUGAGGCGGUGCUCGGAUAUGGUUGAAGCAUUGGCAAUGGCGGCUGCAAGCUUCAAGGGACGGCCAUGGCAGCUCACGGGUGCGGCUGCUGCGUGCGGGAGGCUGGGUCCUGGUGCGUUGCCUUGAGGCACCGGUGGCCGGUGGUCGCCGGGAGUCCAGAAGCGGCCGACGGAGGCAAGCAAACCGGCGGCAACAUGCGCGGCCAGCAGCUAUGCGUGGUGAAGAAGAAAGGAAGGUGCCGCGCGGGAAGGAAGAAACAUGGGAAGAAGAAGAAGGCGCUGGAGAAGAAGGAGAAAAGAAAUAGAAGAAAAAAUGGAAAAGAAAAGAAAAAUAAAAGAAAAGAAAUAAAAAUAAAAUAUGGAAAAUUGGGAAAAAUAGCUGAAAAAUUCCAGAAAAAUGAGGGAAAGUUCUGGAAAUUAGUUUGGGGCUUGAAGAGCUUGUUGGAAGCUCAAAAAUGGAAUUUUGGCCCGAGCGGCAGCUCGGGAGACAACGUCGGCGUGGGCGUUUCCGAAUUUCUCCCCAAAUGAGUCAAGGUUCGUCCAGGGAGGCGAUGAUCCUAGAAGAGCUCGAAGUUCGGAUUGGAGUUCGUGCCGAGACAGAGAGGAGGCUUCAAGCCAGAUGGAUGUUCAGAAGAAGAAGCAGACAUUUAUUUAUGUCCAUGCUAGCCGGGUACCACCGCCCGGUAUGCAAACAACUACUUACUGUUGCAUCAAUAAUCUUUUUGUAGUUUGUGAGUCCUUUGUGAAGUAUAGUGUGUUGGAGGAUUUCGUUCGAGGCCCACUAGGACAUUUCAUGCAGAUCCCCCACUCAUCCCAGGUUACUACACCACAAUUGAUUCUUCAGGUGCUUCUGAGAGAGGUGAAAUUUCCCAGUGCCCACCCCGAUGAGAUGUGGUUCGAGAUGGGCAGUGUGGCAUGUCGAUAUGGGAAGCAGGAGUUCACCCUAAUGACUGGACUUAGAUUUGGCCCAAUUGAUGGGGAAAUCUUACAAGCGAGGCCUGCCAAGGAUGGUGGCUUACGGGCACAUUUAUUCCCACAUAAAGAGGUUGUUUAUGUGGAAGACAUAAAGGAACUACUUGAUACGAAGCCUAACCUGGAUAAAGAUGAUGCCCUGAAGAAUGGGAUACCUUGCCAGGGUCAACAUGCUAUUAAUGGGCCAUGACGAGCGGCUAAGUGCAGAAGAUUUCCAUUGGAGCUUAGUGGAGGAUUUAGAAUCAUUUAGGUUGUUCCCUUUGGGAACAUACGUAUAUAAUCAGGGACUACAUUACUUUCAUCUAGCUAUCACCUGGUGGAAGUUGAAUGCUCAGGUUGGGAAGAAAGUCAACCUCUAUGGAUUUGUUUGGGCGUUUCAGGUACAAUCCUAACUUGAUUUGUAUAUACAAACAUUUUUUUUGUUUAGUUGAAUUUUUUUUAUUAUAAUUCUUUCACAUUUUACAGUAGUGGUGGAUCGACACAACCCCAUGGGUGGUGAGUAUGUGGGCUGUACCAAUAAAAGGCACAGUCAAGAUCCCUAGAUGCAUAAAGUGGUUAUCAAAAAAGGGGCCCAAACAAAUAAGUUACGAUGAAUGUCUUUCCAUAUUGGUAAGUGGUUGACAUAAAUUUCGAUGAAUGUCUCUCUGUCUAUCUAUUUUUUUAUUUUUUUUUGUUUACAGAAAUAGUUGUGUAAAUAUUUCAAUAUUAUAGUCACUUAAACCGGGUUCGACGAUCGAGCCAACAGAUGUAAAGCGGGACACUGAUUUUUGGAGGUCUUUUAACCCUCUGCGAUUGGUUGGACCUAACGUCUUCAAGCAUGGGGGUGGGGGAGAGGAUGUGGUGGAGACUGGUGGUGUUAGGGAGGGUGGGAUUGAGGAGGAGCAUGAUGGAUGCAGCAAGGGAUUUAAGGUUGAGAAGGAGGCUGAUGGAUGUAGGAAGGGAUUUAAGGUUGAUGAUGAGGCUGAUGGAUGCAGGGAAGGAUUUAAGGAUGAGAAAGAGGAGGCUGAUGGGAUGGAGAGCAGGGAGGGAGCAGACAAGGAGGAUGAGGAAGAGUCCAUCAGUAGGGGACUCCUUUCCAGCACGCAACCUAUCCAGAACAAGCCUAUGUUAUGAUUAUUAUCAUAAUGUUUCUCUUAUACGCAUACAAUUCGUUUGUUUGUAAUUAUUUUUGGUUUCGACUUUUAACCUCGUAUAGGUGACUGAGAUGCUCAUUAAGGUGCUACAAUUGUUGAGGAGUUUGGAUGCAUGGGUGGGCUAAUUGGAUAUACAGGUGGACUGUUUGGACACACGGGUUAGUCAAUUGGACAAACAGGUAGGCCAAUUGGAUUCACGGGUGGGCUGGUUGGAGACACGGGUGGGCCAAUUCGACACACAUUUGGAGCGAUUGGAGACGAUGGUUGAAUCAGUGUUAACUAUUCUAUGCGCCCUGGUUAGUCCAACUUUUCGGCAACACGUCGAUCAUGAUGACAAUCAAUAUCAAGACGGUUAUGAUUAGCCAAUUGGUGGAGAUCAGCUCCAACAUGUUCAUGUCAAUGAGGACCAGACACCUCCUUUUGUUAUAAGAUACAAAUUAACUUGUAUAUGUUAAAACCAUAUUGUAACGAUUAAUUUCUGUUGAGUUGUAGGAGUAGCCAGAUGGUGGUGAUCACACCCAGCCUAAUCGUAUGCAUGGGCAGGACAAUCCAUGUAAUGUAAGUCAUAAGAUGCAAUUAACUUUGAUACACUUGCAUAUGAUUACUGUGAAUUUUUUGUUUAGAUGCAGGAGAAGCUAGAUGCUGGUGACAACAUCCUACAAGCUCAUGAUCAUGAGGUGAACCAAACAUCUCCUUCUAUCGAGGAAGUGGACGAACGAACAGUACAAAAGCGGAAUCCAUCCAAAUUUUGUCGAACACCAUUCACCGAUCCCAUUCAACAGAAGAAGAGAAAGACAAAUGCAGUGGCGAGGGAGACAGAUCAUGGUAAAAAUUUGAUCGCCCAUGAAGCAGCCAAGCAACACCUUAGGGCUGAGGGAGAGGAUGACAUUGGUCUUAUACCCCAAUCGGGAUACAUCCAAUACGUAGGCUCAAAAGAUGAGAUCUAGCGUACCAUUGGGCACAUAUACCACAUUGUGCCAAGUAUGCUCCACCAGAUAGAGGAAGAGACGACUUAGUUGGAAGGGAAACACAUUGACAACUACUUGUGUUGCAUCAGACAGAUUAGAGAUACGCAGUCACCGCCUGGUUCUAUAUAUGAUGAAAACUACGUCGUUGUGUCGUCAUCGCUUUUCAUUAGUGUUGAACUCAAAUUAUAUUACUGUUUUUCCUUUUUUGUUAUUCGUUAGUAAAGUUAAACUUUUUUUUUUCU
This is an RNA transcript of Diospyros lotus (date-plum), 3586 nucleotides long. RefSeq lists it as uncharacterized. The record is from RefSeq and is a predicted model, not a curated record. NCBI's taxonomy places the organism in Eukaryota, Viridiplantae, Streptophyta, Magnoliopsida, Ericales, Ebenaceae. The transcript has 5 exons.